GCUGACGUAGCUCAGUUGGUAGAGCACCUGCAUGGUAAGCAGGAGGUCUCGGGUUCAAAUCCCGACGUCAGCUCCA
RNAcentral lists this transfer RNA (76 nucleotides) under Thermaerobacter sp. RNAcentral describes it as "tRNA-Thr". It matches the Rfam family "tRNA". From Rfam's summary of the family: Transfer RNA (tRNA) molecules are approximately 80 nucleotides in length. Their secondary structure includes four short double-helical elements and three loops (D, anti-codon, and T loops). Further hydrogen bonds mediate the characteristic L-shaped molecular structure. tRNAs have two regions of fundamental functional importance: the anti-codon, which is responsible for specific mRNA codon recognition, and the 3' end, to which the tRNAs corresponding amino acid is attached (by aminoacyl-tRNA synthetases). tRNAs cope with the degeneracy of the genetic code in two manners: having more than one tRNA (with a specific anti-codon) for a particular amino acid; and 'wobble' base-pairing, i.e. permitting non-standard base-pairing at the 3rd anti-codon position. The record is from RNAcentral. Lineage: Bacteria; Bacillati; Bacillota; Clostridia; Eubacteriales; Clostridiales Family XVII. Incertae Sedis.